UACUAAUUCUUCUUCUGCUUUCGAGGAUCAAUUCAAUAAAAGAAAUUAGGGUCUGUUUUGAAUUCAUUUUAUUUUACCCUAGACUUCAUUAAAAUUUUAUGAAUCGAUUCUUGAAUGCCCGCUAUGGUAGAAUAUUCAUGUGGGACGCCUCCCACUGGGGGCCCGCUAUGUCAAAAGCGAGAGAACCCUAUUCCUCUCUUUCCUUUUUUCGCCCCCAUAUCGCCGCACGACUUUAGAUGGUAAUGGUGCAUAUUUAAUUUGAGGGAAACUCAUCGUUUCUCUUUUGUUAAUACACUCGAGAAUUUUGAUAAGAGUUUUCUCAUUUUCAUAGCUUAGACAUGACUAGUCAUAAUGUAGAUUAAUAUUCUCAAGAAUAUUGACGAGUUUUCCCACUUUCGUAGUUUAAACAUAACUAGUCAUAAUACACGUUUUUUCGCAGUUUAAAUAUUAGUCAUAGAGUUGUGGAGAAUUUGUUCUUGUCAAGUUGUGGAGAAUUUGUUCUUGUCAAGAUCAAGAUUAGGCCAUGUGCCUAAAUAUGAUAGUGAAUAUGGAAUCACUCUCUUGACAAAGCAGCUUCCUAGCUUUUAGGUGGUCGAGGAGCCUUGCUGAAUUUUUGACUAGUCAUAAUGAACGUCUUCAAUUUGUGACCCUCGUUGGAUUGGAGCUCUUUAUAUUUUAUAUAAAAUAUCAUGUCUUAAGUCUCUUGACGAUCAUCAUCCUUAAGAAGUGGCAUUAUGACCUUGUCUUAAUUUAGAUGUUUUGUGAUUACUGUCAAGACAUAUUUUUACCUCUCUCUAUCCUAUAUUCAUCGCUUGCUUGAUGAUAUGAUUAUUUUGCUUUGCGUCGGCCGCUCUAGAAAAUGCAAAAAUCCUUUGUGCAUGCAAGUUAUAUCAUGGACGCUGACUUGAAAGCUUUUGAAGGGAGAGAGCAAUAGGCAAGCCAUUUAAAGGUGAAGGAGGAGGAGAAGGUUUCCAAUAUGAAAAAGUAUUUGGAGGCUUAAGAUGCUCUAGUUGAAAAGCAAGAAAAAGAGAUUGACAGCCUUCACUCUUCACUUGCCCAUGCCCGGGGUGAUGCUGUGAGCGUUACGAAGCCUUUUAUGAGUUUACCAAAGAUAUGGACAUUUAUGGGUCUGUUAUAAUUCGAAUUAGAUCUGAAACCAUUUUAUUAAAAGAGGAACAGAUUUGAUACCAAUUUGUUGAGAAUUCGACCAAAUAAUUCAAGAUGAGCAUAAUAUGAGUAAAUAUGAAAAUAAUGGAUUACAAAGAAAACAAGACCUACAUAGAAAUCCAAAUUAGGGAAAAUCAUGGGUAGAGAUAAAGAAUUUGCUCUAGUUAAUAGUAAGGAAUUACAAAGGAUCUCUUUGAGUCUAACUAAUUGGACAAUUAGUCAAUUUCAAUAUUAUUUCCUAUCACAUAUUUAUAACCAAACAAUUCCUAAAAUAAUAGGAGAAUUAAUAAAUGAAGAUUUUUAAUGUAGAAACAUAUUGCUGAAUAAUUAAAAAAGAAUUGGAUAAAAAUGGAAAAAAUGUAACAGUAGAAAGAAAACAUACGAAAUUUUGGAUUGGGCCUAUAAGACUAUUCCUAAAAGAAGAAGAUGAGACGAGCAAUACUCA
This 1612-nucleotide long non-coding RNA is filed under the name Olea europaea subsp. europaea. The record is from RNAcentral. Lineage: Eukaryota; Viridiplantae; Streptophyta; Magnoliopsida; Lamiales; Oleaceae.